This is a long non-coding RNA of Poecilia latipinna (sailfin molly), 755 nucleotides long. RefSeq lists it as uncharacterized. Lineage: Eukaryota; Metazoa; Chordata; Actinopteri; Cyprinodontiformes; Poeciliidae. The transcript has 2 exons. The record is from RefSeq and is a predicted model, not a curated record.
CCUCUGCUGUCUGCUCCCAGUGAUCACGCUGCUCCAUCGAUCAUAUGAGCCUGGACCAUUUCGUGCUCUACCCACAAAGUGCUUCAAUAAACCCAGUCCACCAGCCUCAGGACAAGAAACACACAUUUAUUCAGAUUAUCAUCUGUUCAAAAUAAACUUUUUUUUUCCCCUCCUCUCAGUCUCCUGAAUGUGUUCUGUAUGUGAGUCACACACUUGGCUCCCAACAUGACAAAAACAGUUGCAUAUAACCAGCAACAUCAAAAUUUCAUUCUGUAGAGUGCAGGUCUGGACAUCAUCACUAGCCCAGACAUCUGCUCUGUCUUCUCUUCCUCCUUUUCAUUUGUCUUGCCAAGUGACAUCAUUGUAUAAUUUAACAAUGACUGAACAAUCAGUUUUGAAGUUAUGAGAACAUGCCACUAUAGGUUUAGUUCUGCAGGAUUAACUUUACUAAGUCUAAGUUUCAGCAGGAAAAUGGUUGCUAACAUUGUCAAAAUCAACAUGGAUGUCAGCAAAUUCACCUGGACAGCUCUAAAAUUAAUUUAUUCAGAACAUGAUGCAUUACUAAUUUAUCUGGCUAAAAACAAAGGUUUAAAUGUUUCAAUCUAUUGAACUACAGGGACACAUACGGGUAUUUUGUCAAGUUAUGUUUUGUACUUUUAUUGAUUUAAAACGUUUUUCAUUGGAAAGUUGAGACACAAAUGUUAAUACGGGAAGGUUAGAAAAGAAAGAAAAUAUUGGUAUUUUAUGGCCAAACA